This 72-nucleotide transfer RNA is filed under the name Camelus bactrianus (Bactrian camel). It matches the Rfam family "tRNA". From Rfam's summary of the family: Transfer RNA (tRNA) molecules are approximately 80 nucleotides in length. Lineage: Eukaryota; Metazoa; Chordata; Mammalia; Artiodactyla; Camelidae. The record is from Rfam by way of RNAcentral. RNAcentral also lists the same sequence under 1 other name.
GAGGGUAUAGCUCACUGGUAGGGUGCAUGCUUAGCAUGCACAAGGUCCUGGAUUCCAUCCCCAGUACCUCCA